UACAGAGGGCGCGAGCGUUGUUCGGAAUUAUUGGGCGUAAAGGGCGCGUAGGCGGCGCCACAAGUCACCUGUGAAAACUCUGGGCUCAACCCAGAGCCUGCAGGCGAAACUGUGGUGCUGGAGUAUGGGAGAGGUGCGUGGAAUUCCCGGUGUAGCGGUGAAAUGCGUAGAUAUCCGGAGGAACCCCCCUGGCGAAGGCGGCCCCCUGGGCCGCGCCUGACGCUGAGACGCGAAAGCGCGGGGAGCGAACCGG
Molecule: ribosomal RNA, 253 nt
Filed under: uncultured bacterium
Lineage: Bacteria
Description: partial 16S ribosomal RNA
Rfam family: Bacterial small subunit ribosomal RNA
Source: RNAcentral